GGGGUUGUAGCUCAGUUGAUAGAGCGCUCGCCUUGCAAGCGAGAGGUCACGGGUUUGAGUCCCGUUAGCUCCACCA
Molecule: transfer RNA, 76 nt
Filed under: Pseudomonas amygdali pv. lachrymans str. M301315
Lineage: Bacteria; Pseudomonadati; Pseudomonadota; Gammaproteobacteria; Pseudomonadales; Pseudomonadaceae
Description: tRNA-Ala
Rfam family: tRNA
About the family: Transfer RNA (tRNA) molecules are approximately 80 nucleotides in length. Their secondary structure includes four short double-helical elements and three loops (D, anti-codon, and T loops). Further hydrogen bonds mediate the characteristic L-shaped molecular structure. tRNAs have two regions of fundamental functional importance: the anti-codon, which is responsible for specific mRNA codon recognition, and the 3' end, to which the tRNAs corresponding amino acid is attached (by aminoacyl-tRNA synthetases). tRNAs cope with the degeneracy of the genetic code in two manners: having more than one tRNA (with a specific anti-codon) for a particular amino acid; and 'wobble' base-pairing, i.e. permitting non-standard base-pairing at the 3rd anti-codon position.
Source: RNAcentral